UAAAAGAUAUUUAAAUUUGCUUUUUGGCAAAAACCCAAACGGAAAGUUCAGCAAUGAAAUUAGAAUUCAAAGGUUGUUGUUGAAUGGCCAACGGGGAAAAAACCAGAAAGACUGGAGGGAGAAACCCCAAUUGGAAGGGUUUUGCCUAAUUUCCACUCCCUCCACGAUGAAAGCCAUUGUUUUACGUACAUCCGGGCUUUGGGAAAAGCCAUUGUUUCAUCCGAGGGUUCUUCUAAAUUGCAGCUCAGGAACUAUAAGGAUUCAACUUGUUUGUAGGGAAGUUAUACUUUUCAAGUAUAAGGCUGAUAGUGAUGUAAUCUGGUGUACGGGUUUGAUACAUUAAUAUCAGAUUUAUAUCUUGUUCAAGAGUUUUAAAAUUAUUGUUUUGUCUUGGAAAGAUAUGUCAAAAAGUGAAAAGAAAUCCUGGGACAAGCUUGAGAAAUUGGAAGCAGUACAUGCUCUAAUUUCCCAACAUAUAUCAGCAGCUUCGCCAAUUUCAAGAUUUUCAAUAUUAUCUUAUCUGUCAGCACUUUCGGAAUUCCUCGUUGAUUCUGCAUGGGUAGGCUAUGGAAAUCCAAGUGGCCUGUAUCAUGGUUUGUUUCCUCAAGACUUUCAACAUCUUCUGCAAACAAUACCGGCGAAAUUGAUUUAGUAUUAGGAACUGAAUCAGCCUCCUUUCAAUCAAAACCUUCAUAUGUGUAUCCGGAAGGGAAAAAGGUUUUCAAAGAAAAGGCAUUCUUUUCAACUGUAACUCCACUUGGAAGAUGGAUAAAACUGGGUACAGGGUUUUUACUUCUUUUACUAUUUUUAUGUAUUGUUAAUUUAAGAUCUGGAUGGAAAAGAAACUUUCCGACUCCAGAAUUGUCACACUUCUCAGUAAGUUUUGACUGUGGAAGCACUGGCACUCGAAUUCAUGUGUAUGAGUGGUCACAUAAGGGGAAGGAUCAAGGAAAUCUUCCAAUGCUGGUACAUUCAAGAUCUGGAGAACCUGCUGAGAAUUCUGGCCAGCUAAAUGGAUUUCCUAUGAUGCAUAUUGUUCAGUAAUUACUGUCAGAACAUUAAUACAUGCAGACUUAAAAAUACCUCAUUCUGUAAUUUCAAGUUAUGCUUGAAAGUCUUAUAAAUAGUUUUGACUUCCAUUAUGCUCAGUGCUUGAUGUUUACCUCUCCCUGUAACUUUAUACUGAUUAUAUCAUCUCAUUUAAGCCUAUAUCUGAAUUCAGUUCUCUUCCUUUAUAGUUUUGACUUCCAUUAUGCUCAAUGAUUGAUGUUUAUCUCUCCCAGUAACUUUAUACUGAUUAUAUCAUCUCAUUUAAG
Cryptomeria japonica (Japanese cedar) is the source of this 1316-nucleotide RNA transcript. RefSeq lists it as uncharacterized. The record is from RefSeq and is a predicted model, not a curated record. The transcript is spliced from 2 exons. NCBI's taxonomy places the organism in Eukaryota, Viridiplantae, Streptophyta, Pinopsida, Cupressales, Cupressaceae.